GCAAACUUGGUCAUUUAGAGGAAGUAAAAGUCGUAACAAGGUUUCCGUAGGUGAACCUGCGGAAGGAUCAUUAAAGAUUUAGUAAAUCCUAUCAUCCGUGUACGAUCUGCGAAGUCCGAUAUCCUUGGAGAGAUCAUCAUCUGUGAACUCUCCAAGGAGGUUAUCACGAUCAAUGCAUUUUUUUUCCUUUCUUUACUUAAGAAUAUUGUUGUCUAAAAAAUCAUCUAAAUAAAACAACUUUCAACAACGGAUCUCUUGGCUCUCGCAUCGAUGAAGAACGCAGC
This 284-nucleotide unclassified non-coding RNA is filed under the name uncultured fungus. RNAcentral describes it as "partial contains small subunit ribosomal RNA, internal transcribed spacer 1, and 5.8S ribosomal RNA". The stretch from base 1 to 73 matches the Rfam family "Eukaryotic small subunit ribosomal RNA", at positions 1759 to 1831 of the family's 1831-position model. Lineage: Eukaryota; Fungi. The record is from RNAcentral.